RNAcentral lists this transfer RNA (67 nucleotides) under Sclerurus mexicanus (tawny-throated leaftosser). Its description in RNAcentral is "tRNA-Cys". The record is from RNAcentral. Lineage: Eukaryota; Metazoa; Chordata; Aves; Passeriformes; Furnariidae.
GGCCCUGUGGUGAAGUUCAUGUUGAGUUGCAAGCUCAUUGAUACGUAUUAAGCAUGCGUCAGGGUCU